Molecule: transfer RNA, 91 nt
Filed under: Clostridiales bacterium
Lineage: Bacteria; Bacillati; Bacillota; Clostridia; Eubacteriales
Also listed under: 1 other name
Description: tRNA-Ser
Rfam family: tRNA
About the family: Transfer RNA (tRNA) molecules are approximately 80 nucleotides in length. Their secondary structure includes four short double-helical elements and three loops (D, anti-codon, and T loops). Further hydrogen bonds mediate the characteristic L-shaped molecular structure. tRNAs have two regions of fundamental functional importance: the anti-codon, which is responsible for specific mRNA codon recognition, and the 3' end, to which the tRNAs corresponding amino acid is attached (by aminoacyl-tRNA synthetases). tRNAs cope with the degeneracy of the genetic code in two manners: having more than one tRNA (with a specific anti-codon) for a particular amino acid; and 'wobble' base-pairing, i.e. permitting non-standard base-pairing at the 3rd anti-codon position.
Source: RNAcentral
GGAGAGAUGUCCGAGGGGUCGAAGGAGCACGACUGGAAAUCGUGUGUGCGCCAAAAACGCACCGUGGGUUCAAAUCCCACUCUCUCCGCCA